GAUGAACGCUGGCGGCGUGCCUAAUACAUGCGAGUCGAGCGAACAGAUCAGGAGCUUGCUCCUCUGACGUUAGCGGCGGACGGGUGAGUAACACGUGGAUAACCUACCUAUAAGACUGGGAUAACUUCGGGAAACCGGAGCUAAUACCGGAUAAUAUAUUGAACCGCAUGGUUCAAUAGUGAAAGACGGUUUUGCUGUCACUUAUAGAUGGAUCCGCGCCGCAUUCGCUAGUUGGUAAGGUAACGGCUUACCAAGGCAACGAGGCGUAGCCGACCUGAGAGGGGGAUCGGCCACACUGGAACUGAGACACGGGCCAGACUCCGACGGGAGGCAGCAGUAGGGAAUCUUCCGCAAUGGGCGAAAGCCUGACGGAGCAACGCCGCGUGAGUGAUGAAGGUCUUCGGAUCGUAAAACUCUGUUAUUGGGGAAGAACAAAUGUGUAAGUAACUAUGCACGUCUGGACGGUACCUAAUCAGAAAGCCACGGCUAACUACG
RNAcentral lists this ribosomal RNA (495 nucleotides) under uncultured bacterium. RNAcentral describes it as "partial 16S ribosomal RNA". It matches the Rfam family "Bacterial small subunit ribosomal RNA", at positions 28 to 505 of the family's 1533-position model. The record is from RNAcentral.